This 464-nucleotide ribosomal RNA is filed under the name uncultured bacterium. Its description in RNAcentral is "bacterial SSU rRNA". It matches the Rfam family "Bacterial small subunit ribosomal RNA", at positions 335 to 794 of the family's 1533-position model. The record is from RNAcentral.
ACUCCUACGGGAGGCAGCAGUGAGGAAUAUUGGUCAAUGGAGGGAACUCUGAACCAGCCAUCCCGCGUGUAGGAAGACGGCUUACUGGUUGGUAACAUACUUUUAUACAGGAAGAAACGUACCCUCGUGAGGGUGCCUGACGGUACUGUAGGAAUAAGCACCGGCUAACUCCGUGCCAGCAGCCGCGGUAAUACGGAGGGUGCGAGCGUUAUCCGGAUUUAUUGGGUUUAAAGGGUCCGUAGGCGGAUUAAUAAGUCAGUGGUGAAAUCCCAUCGCUUAACGAUGGAACUGCCAUUGAUACUGUUAGUCUUGAAUGAGGGUGCAGUGGUUGGAAUGUGUAGUGUAGCGGUGAAAUGCAUAGAUAUUACACAGAACACCGAUUGCGAAGGCAGAUCACUAACCCUAAAUUGACGCUGAGGGACGAAAGCGUGGGGAGCGAACAGGAUUAGAUACCCUGGUAGGAU